Molecule: non-coding RNA, 25 nt
Filed under: Rattus norvegicus (Norway rat)
Lineage: Eukaryota; Metazoa; Chordata; Mammalia; Rodentia; Muridae
Source: RNAcentral
GACAAAGGAGCUGUUUGUCUUGGAA